GACGAACGCUGGCGGCAUGCCUUACACAUGCAAGUCGAACGGCAGCACGGGAGCAAUCCUGGUGGCGAGUGGCGAACGGGUGAGUAAAGUAUCGGAACGUGCCCAGUCGUGGGGGAUAACGUAGCGAAAGUUACGCUAAUACCGCAUACGAUCUAUGGAUGAAAGCGGGGGAUCGCAAGACCUCGCGCGAUUGGAGCGGCCGAUAUCAGAUUAGGUAGUUGGUGGGGUAAAGGCUCACCAAGCCGACGAUCUGUAGCUGGUCUGAGAGGACGACAGGCCACACUGGGACUGAGACACGGCCCAGACUCCUACGGGAGGCAGCAGUGGGGAAUUUUGGACAAUGGGCGAAAGCCUGAUCCAGCCAUGCCGCGUGCAGGAUGAAGGCCUUCGGGUUGUAAACUGCUUUUGUACGGAACGAAAAGGUUUGGCCUAAUAAGCUGAGCUCAUGACGGUACCGUAAGAAUAAGCACCGGCUAACUACGUGCCAGCCGCCGCCGUAA
This 500-nucleotide ribosomal RNA is filed under the name uncultured bacterium. Its description in RNAcentral is "partial 16S ribosomal RNA". It matches the Rfam family "Bacterial small subunit ribosomal RNA", at positions 28 to 523 of the family's 1533-position model. The record is from RNAcentral.